Non-coding RNA from Pelobates cultripes (western spadefoot toad), 222 nucleotides. Lineage: Eukaryota; Metazoa; Chordata; Amphibia; Anura; Pelobatidae. The record is from the annotation of a GenBank genome assembly.
GCCUCUCCAAAGCAGGUAAGAUAAGUGUCCUCUCACUGGCCAUGCAAUCUUGGAACGGUCGCAAUAGAUGUAGAACGUCAAGCAAAUCCAGCCACCAGUCUCGAUGAUAUCCUGAUGGAGCACUUUCCAAAAAUCGUACCACUUCUGCAGCUAGGAGAGUCACAUCAUGAGGGACAACGUGCCCAGUUAAUAAGAGCUGUUUAGAAAUGUGGCAGCGCAAAC